UCUUCAUGAAGCUUGAGUGCCAAGUGCCCCAAGUGUGACACCUCAAAUGGUUCACACAACACCAAAUACACUUGGAAUAACUUGAGAGAAUUCUACACUUCAUGAAAAUCGACUAGCCCUCUCUAGAAUGAUACUAGUCACCGAUUUUGUCAAGAAUAAGAUCUUUAUAUAGUGUUACAAUCAGGGUAAACCCUAAUUGUCAUGACUUUCCAUUUCCUUGGAUCCAUGGGUUCAAAUACACCAUGGAGCAUCCAUGGACCAUCCUAUGGGUUUUAGCCCAACUUGAUUAUCCAUGGAGCAUUAGCCCACUAUACAAGUAUGGAUGAUUUACACAAUCAACCCAUAUAUUUAAUUAGUCUUCUUUUGAUCACUUAAUUAAUCCUAGAUUAAUUCUUGAUCAAUACUAAUUAAAUAAUCUUAUUAUUCUUAUUAUUAAUAUACUAGAACUUAUNUGAUCACUUAAUUAAUCCUAGAUUAUUUCUUGAUCAAUACUAAUUAAAUAAUCUUAUUAUUCUUAUUAUUAAUAUACUAGAACUUAUAAUAUAUUAAUAACCAUAAGUGUCUUAUUUCUCUUAUUAUAGUCUAUCCAAGUGCAUGAUGGCAUGCAACCCAAAUGGACCAUGCCGGGUCGGGUCAAGUCUUACCAAUUAUAGUUAUGGACUUAGACAUUAAUCCAACAGUCUCCCACUUGGAUAAGUCUAAAACUAUUAUUGCGUAUGACUUCAGGAACCAACUGGCAAUCGUAGCUCUCAAAAGCUUCUGUCGAACUCUGACCUUGUAGAUGAACUCUGACCUUUGUCAAUGACUUGUCCAUUAGAUAAGGGAUCAUAUAUUCCUCCAUUCUAGAUAUCAUAUGGACUGAGACAUGGAUUAUAAUCAUUCUCUCUGUCCAUUUGUUGUUUCCCGAUUUCCGAUUUAUGACGACUGACUAAUUGAACAAAUCAAAUCAGUCCUGGCCCGGCCGAGCACUUCCAUUUGUCAUCAUCAAAUCAUCGAGGGGCCCACAGAUAUCGCUUUUAUCCCGAAGGUAAAAGGAAUGGAUAAACUUCGACUCAUAUGGCUUGUUCUACUACUUGUUGAAUCAUACACAAAGGCACGUUUUAUAGCACCGAGUUACCAAAUGCGUUUUCGUGCAAUCAAUGUACUAUCAACUCAUAGUAACAACUCAUAUCUCUAGGUUUGAAGAAUAUAAGAUAUUAUCGUCUCAUGAUCACUCGUGAUAAAAUCCAUGAAGUGAUUCCAAUGAGCGCGGGUUGAAUCCAAUACUCAGAACUUAUGAGCACUCAUGAGUGUUGUAGCCCUUUGUCCAACACCUUAGACCUCUACAAGCCAACCCAUGACAGUCUUAAUUCAUAUCUACUUCCAACAUAUGACCGACUGUGGAUGGUUUGAAUAACUUAGUCAUUCCGGAAGAAUAACCUAGUUUAUUCGGGAAGUCAAAACAUGCAAAGUGAAACACAAUAAUAAUUGAAUCCAAUAUGGUAUCAACCCUUUGAACAUAAAUAAAACACCUUUUAUUUAUCACCAUAUGAUUACACAUUAUUCAUUGUAUACUGUUUCAGCUAUCAACUUUAUUCUUGAAUUUAAAACAAUAGUUGUCCCAUGCUCCAAGCAUGUACACUAUGUUUUCUUAAACACUAGUCAUGCCACACACCAAGUAUGCAUACUAUGUUUGUCUAUGAUCUUUACUUUGUGAACUAGAUCAAUUGAACAUAACUUCAAUGAUUCUCUUUUCACACUCCCAAAUCCUUACUGCAAAUGCAAGAAUUCCAAAUUCAUGCCAUUUACUGAAAUCUGUUAGAUUCUAAACUUAUAUGCAUUGAUCCUCUUGUAAUGAUUAUGCACAAAGUCAGAAAGACUUGACAACAAUCAUUACAGAGUAUUCCAAAGGAGAUCAGCUCCUUGGAAACAUCCUUCUUGCAUUAAGUUUCCUAAUCUUAAACAGAUUGAAAAUUCUAACUUUGAAACAUUUCCAGAUUCCAUUUUGACUAUCACUUCUGAACAAGAGUUGCCUCCUUACAGAUUAUGUCAAUAUGGUCCUUCCAGAAUUAUCACUAUACUUCCAACUGUCCUUGAGCAACCAAUCUUUGGUAAACCUUAGAUUGUCCUCGACAAUUGUUUAAUCCUUUUAGUCAUAUCCAGUUCUAAACCUUUUCCCUUCUUAAUGCCCCAGGCAUUUGGAAAAUUUUAGAACGGAUGAAUAUAGCACAUGUAAUCGAUCCUAUAUCCGAAGCAUAUGGGACACGAUUCAUGAUGUCUCACAUAAAGACUAAACCAGUCUUUUGCUAUAACAUUUCCAUUUCAAUUUGCCAAGUUCUCAUAAUUCAGAUUAUGAAAAGGGAUGCCGUAAUCAUAAUCGAAUUUUAGAACGCAAAUAAUGGACCCAUAUACAGAAUUUCCUUAUGUUGAGCCAUUCCAACAUGAAAUUCAUAUAUAUCCUUGACUAAAUGAUUAAAACCUCACGAUCUAAGCUUAUAGAUUUGAGAUGAAGCAUAAUUUCCUCUCCCUUAAUUAUAGCAAAACAACUUUUUCCCAAUUGAAACUUUUGUUUUCUAUAAUUAACAUUGCUAACUUGCAAUACUUAUCAUAAUUAUCAUGCUCCCACUAACAUGAUGAUUAUUAGCAUAACACUUAUGCUCCCACUAGCUUUGACAUGUACUCAGAAAUCAGCUGGACUUCUAGAAAUCAAUACUUCAUUGACUUUCUUACCAAAGUUCAGAUUUCUGAUACUAGAUUGUUUUGAUAAAACUUUAUCAAAAUCAUACACCUUCCCUUAGAUAGCACACUUGUGUAUCUAAACAAUUAUGAAGAGGGAUGCCGUAAUCAUAAUGGUUAGACCUUUUUGCCACUUCUCACAAGUCCAGGUUAGUGUGCCGGUUAACCACACGCGCUCCACUAACGACUUUGAGAAUGCAAAUAUCACAAUUGCUAUCUAGCUAAAAUCUACUUAGUGAAAGUGUUUCCUCACCAUCAUUUUCAUGAAUCGGAGAGAAACCUUAUGACACUUAGAUUUAAUGGUGUAUGUGUUCUUAUCCAUGUGAAUUGUCAAAAUCAUAGUCACAAGACAAGGAUAAUGACAAAUCCAAACUCAUAUGGACUGAACUCAAUCUUAAUUUCUUGCCACCUGGCAGCUCAAGGGCCUACCAUUGCUUCCAAGUUGUUGUGCAACAAAUUGAGAACUCUAAGAACUCAUAUGCAAAGCCAACUUUAACUGGAAUGGGCACAGAAUAUGUCAACACGAUAGGUUAUAAACCUCAAGUCGUGUGCUAGUGAAGAACUUCAGGUUUUAUUCUUGAUUAGUUCUUGAGACUUUCAAGACCUUUAAGACUCCCACUGUCCUCUUGACAUAUAAGACUCCCUUGUCAAACAUCCAAGAGAUAGUGCGGAUUCUAAUCAAGAAAAACACUUUACCCAAUUGGCCUAAGUUGGUCUUUGUUUUAUCCAAAACAUCACAACUUACCAAUUUCAAAUGUACAAGAGUAGAAAACUUUUACUCUUACAUUUGACAAGUGUUUUAAACCUUCUUUAAGACAUGUCACUCAAAUGACAAUCUUGGAGUAUGACUCUAAGACUUGUAUUGGAACGAAGUAUGACUCAUCUUCUUGAUUUAACCAUUUCAACAAUUCAAGUUCCUCUUCUUAGUCAUAAGAAUGCACUAAGAUUUCCUUAGAGAACUAAUUUUGAUAUGGUUUCUUAAUCAUUAAGAUGAUCACAAAACUGAUACUAAAGUACUCUCCCAUCUUUUCAGAUUUGAGAAACUUUUAUCCUUCUGCCUAAUUUGAUUCUUCUUAUUCGCCCUGCCAUACAUUGGAACCUUUUCCAAUGUCUCAGAGUUACACUUAAGCUUGUAAGUAUAAUCAUAUUUACUGAGCUUUAGUAAACUAUGACGAAUAGUCUUAUCAAUCUUUUGUGGUGGACUUAAUCAGUGCACAAGAAUGUGUACUCGAUCCCUUAGUCCUUUACUUGACUCACACAUCCAUGUGGCCGAGUAAUUAGUCUUAAUUUUCCAAAACUUGAAAGUUCUCAUUCAUCAUGCUAUACAACUUGCAUGAUUCCAAGUUCCGGUCCAAUUGAAACUUGGGUGAUGAGAAUCUUUCCUUAUUUGGUAAAUCUAGACAUUACCACAAAUGAAAGAAUCAAUUUCAUAUUUCCACUCUUGCUCUUAAUGGAAUCAUAUAAGCAACAAUUUUUCCUCAAAAGCCAUUGUAAGGAUAUUUUAAAAUAAAUAAAAUCAAAAAAUUUUUCUUUUAUUUUAAAACUUUGCGGAAAAACUUAUCCUUACAAUCCAUAUGAAAACUUGUUGUUAUCUAUUCCUAAGCAAUAUCUCAUAACUCCUAAGAAGUUGCUCAAGAAUCCGAUCUUCAAACUAUGCGAUAGAAAUCCAUCUACGCCAUCAGAUUCAGCAUAUUCUUUCUUUAAGUUUCUUCACUUUUCUUUGAUUCUUAAAACAUCACCAUGUGACCCAGUCACAUCAUGUAUCAGGAAUCUCAGAAUAGAAACUUAACAGAGUUAGAUAGUGGACUUUACCUGAAGUAGAGUCAAACUUAUUGACUUUAACAUCCUUAGGUAAAUUUGGCAGCUUCGCAACCAAUGCCCCUUCCUUUGGCAAUAUAAACAUAUGGACCCUUUGAUAAUGGUACACGAGACUAUCACAGACUUAGCUUUUCUCUUUACCAUUUGGUCAACCGAGUUGACUAUGGCCGAUCCCUUUCCAUUGGGAAGAGAAUGCUUUACUGGAUAUCCAAUGUCAUCAUUGUCAAUGUCCAUAAAGUUUUAGGAAGUUGAUCUUAGCAAAUAGAUAAGAUCAUUAAGGGUCUUGUCAUAGUCUGUUUCAUAGGUGUCCCAAAGGAACUCACUAUGUGACUUAGAAAGUGAUUGAACCACCAACUUUCUCAAGACUUUGACACCCAACUCUCCCGGCUUGUCAAUAUGUGACUACAUCUCCAAGAUGUGAUCACACCUAGACCUUGCCUUGCCAAUAGGGCUUGAGUGACCUUAAACUUUUCAAGAACUUGUGGGUUAGGGAGAAUAAUUGGAGGAGGAGAAAGAAGUAUGAUAUCCAUGGGACAUCAUCUUCAUUAGGAAACCUUGUUUCAAGAGAUUUGGGAAGAUCAUAGGUGUCUAAACCAGACAUCUUUUGGGAGAUAUUCAAGAUAGUUGAUUUAAAGUCCUUAAUAUGACACCCAAUAUGAAAUAUUAAGGCUAGGACCCAACAAACUAUUUUAUAACUUAGAAGAGGUAUGCCGUAAUCCAAGCUAUAAAAUAUUUGAAGGUAGGUGAAUGACGAUUCACCAAUUUCCACCAAGAUAAACGAAAUGUAUUAUUAGGUUUUAAUUGGUUUUGAAACUCCUAGAUCUUUGAGAUUCAUUGAACUGUUCAAAGGCAUGUUUCAAUCUCGAGUGUGCCCUUCAGGUUUUGUGACUGGGAUGCCGAGGAUCACAAAACAAGGUGUGAAGUAACCAUGCAAAUCACUUGGUACCCUUAAUAAAUUACCCCUCAAUCGAUGUGCCGGUUAACCACACACGCUCCAUCGAUACUAUGAUAAAUAUUAAGUCACCCUUUACCUACCUUGUUAAGUCCAAGUUAGUGUGCCGGUUAACCACACACGCUCCACUAACGACUUAGACAAAGUGUAAAGUGUAAUUUCAUGGAUUAGCACCUUAUUCACAUUUUUCCUAAGUAACUAAGAUUGGGUAUUAUUAAGAGUUUAGUUACUUAGUAUUAUCAUUAAUACUUUUAAUGAAGGGAGAAUUCUAGUCCUGUCAAACCCGUUCGGCUAACGACCCUCCACCAGUCAAGCAAGCGGUGGGUGAGAGUGGACACCCAUUAAGUUGCCAUUUUAUAGGCAACAACCUUAUACCCACCUUAUAGACCGGCUUCGUGAAUGAGGCGUACUAGCGGUAAGACUGACUUUACUCUUAUACAUAUAUAUAUUAUUAACUUAUAAUAUUAUAAAGUAUAAGGGUUGAAUUUUAACUUUUAAAAUUCUAAGGGCUAACUUGGAAUUAAAGUAUUCAUAAGUGAAAACUUUACAAAUUCCAAAACUUGAGGGCAAGUUUUGAAACUAUUCAAAACUAAUUAAUUCCAUAACUUAUGUGUUUAAAGUAGUUUUAAUCCAAAAACUCUUCAAGUUCCAUAACUUGAGGACAAGUUAUGGAAGACUUUAAACUAAUAAAAGAAUUAACUUUUCUUUAUUUUAUAACUUAUGGAAUUAAUUAAGGUUACACUUUUUUUUUUUUUAUUUUAUUUUAUUAAAUGAAGAGACUCUUGGUCCUCCAUAACUUGAGGACAAGUUAUGGAGUCAUAAAACCAUUUAAUUAGAACUAGACUCUUCAUUUUUGUAACCUUUGCCAAUUUUUAUGAGUUUUAUGAUUCUUAAAUGUGACUUUUCAUAUAACUUGAGGACAAGUUACAAAAACACAUUUUAGAAUCAAUUCUUAGAUUAAUUUGGAUUAAAACCAACUAUCACAUAAUUUUAUUCAUUAAUCUAAAUUCACUCAUAAAACAAGGUAACACAAAAAACUUUUGGUGAUCCAUAACUUAUUCUUAAGUUAUGGAAUCCUUUAAAACAUUAACACCAAAUUUUGUAACUCCAAAAAAACUUUGAAUCAAUUUUUUUUUUAAAACCUUUUCAUAUCCAUAACUUAUGGAGGUUUCAAAAAAUAAAACUCUUUAGAUCAAACUUUUAAAACUAAUAAAAUAAUCAUAUUAUUUUAUCUUUUAUUAAAUUUGACCUAAUUCAACUCAUAAAGCAAAUUAUUCAAAUUUUACAAAUAAUUAGUUUUUCACAAGAACAAGUAAUUAUCUUAAAAUUUGACAAACUUCAUGUUUUUUUUUUUUUUUUUUUUCAACUUUGAAAAUAAAAUAUUUGCAUCAAUAUAACAGAAAACAACCCGUGGCUCUGAUACCACUGUUGGGUUUUGAGCAUUCUAACACUUCCUAAGUGUACAUGCAACCCUAAAUACCUUGGAUCUAUGUUUUCUCUAUUAUACAUGCAAAUAAGAACUUCCAAGGUAUUAUCCUAAUCUAGCAUACAAAACAAUAACUUAACAAGAUAGAAUACAUACCUCUUGAUGUAGAAAGUCUUCAUGAAGCUUGAGUGCCAAGUGCCCCAAGUGUGACACCUCAAAUGGUUCACACAACACCAAAUACACUUGGAAUAACUUGAGAGAAUUCUACACUUCAUGAAAAUCGACUAGCCCUCUCUAGAAUGAUACUAGUCACCGAUUUUGUCAAGAAUAAGAUCUUUAUAUAGUGUUACAAUCAGGGUAAACCCUAAUUGUCAUGACUUUCCAUUUCCUUGGACCCAUGGGUUCAAAUACACCAUGGAGCAUCCAUGGACCAUCCUAUGGGUUUUAGCCCAACUUGAUUAUCCAUGGAGCAUUAGCCCACUAUACAAGUAUGAAUGAUUUACACAAUCAACCCAUAUAUUUAAUUAGUCUUCUUUUGAUCACUUAAUUAAUCCUAGAUUAAUUCUUGAUCAAUACUAAUUAAAUAAUCUUAUUAUUCUUAUUAUUAAUAUACUAGAACUUAUAAUAUAUUAAUAACCAUAACUGUCUUAUUUCUCUUAUUAUAGUC
This 7578-nucleotide long non-coding RNA is filed under the name Lactuca sativa (garden lettuce). RNAcentral's name for it is "long non-coding RNA (LSAT_LNC000858)". Lineage: Eukaryota; Viridiplantae; Streptophyta; Magnoliopsida; Asterales; Asteraceae. The record is from RNAcentral.